GACGAACGCUGGCGGCAUGCCUAACACAUGCAAGUCGAACGGAGAUUAUUUCGGUACUCUUAGUGGCGAACGGGUGAGUAACGCGUGGGCAACCUGCCCUCUAGAUGGGGACAACAUCCCGAAAGGGGUGCUAAUACCGAAUGUGACAGCAAUCUCGCAUGAGGAUGCCGUGAAAGAUGGCCUCUAUUUAUAAGCUAUCGCUAGAGGAUGGGCCUGCGUCUGAUUAGCUAGUUGGUGGGGUAACGGCCUACCAAGGCGAUGAUCAGUAGCCGGUCUGAGAGGAUGAACGGCCACAUUGGGACUGAGACACGGCCCAGACUCCUACGGGAGGCAGCAGUGGGGAAUCUUCCGCAAUGGGCGAAAGCCUGACGGAGCAAUGCCGCGUGAGUGAUGAAGGAAUUCGUUCCGUAAAGCUCUUUUGUUUAUGACGAAUGUGCAGAUUGUGAACAAUGAUCUGUAAUGACGGUAGUAAACGAAUAAGCCACGGCUAACUACGUG
RNAcentral lists this ribosomal RNA (498 nucleotides) under uncultured bacterium. Its description in RNAcentral is "partial 16S ribosomal RNA". It matches the Rfam family "Bacterial small subunit ribosomal RNA", at positions 28 to 507 of the family's 1533-position model. The record is from RNAcentral.